AGUCGCUUUACUCAGCCACUUGGUGGCUGGUUUUGUGGGAGAAAACCCCCUGAAAGACCCGUCCGAAGCUAAUAAAAGUGCCUCCUCUGUCGGAGACAAUCGUGCGAGGCGAAGGCGGAGCGUGGUAGCAGGCGCUCAGCAGAGAGCAAACUCCUGAAGUACGGCAAAUGCAAACAAACUUCAGUCAUGUGCUGAAAGUCGCGAGUUGUGGGUGUGCGUUCACCGUCUGAAAACACGCGAAUAAAUAAACAAAAACGACACGUGACGAGGUGCGAGCGAUAUUUUGUGCGAAAAUGCUGCGACUUCAGGAGGACUUCCGGUAGCAGCAGGUGAGUAGUACCCUGGAGGGCGUCCCCGCCCGCGGGCUGCCAUGUGCCAGCGGCGCCCCUCAACCCCCCACAUUCCGCCGCCUCGAAAGCUCCCAACACCCCCAAGCCGCCGCCGCCCCCGAAGGCUACAUCCACGAGCACUACAGCCCGAAAAGUGGCCGAAAAUUCGACGAGACGCGGCAGAUCUUCAAUCGAUCACCUUG
Molecule: long non-coding RNA, 532 nt
Organism: Tribolium castaneum (red flour beetle)
Lineage: Eukaryota; Metazoa; Arthropoda; Insecta; Coleoptera; Tenebrionidae
Exons: 2
Source: RefSeq, a predicted model, not a curated record